GACGAACGCUGGCGGCGUGCUUAACACAUGCAAGUCGAACGGAAAGGCCCUGCUUUUGUGGGGUGCUCGAGUGGCGAACGGGUGAGUAACACGUGAGUAACCUGCCCUUGACUUUGGGAUAACUUCAGGAAACUGGGGCUAAUACCGGAUAGGAGCUCCUGCUGCAUGGUGGGGGUUGGAAAGUUUCGGCGGUUGGGGAUGGACUCGCGGCUUAUCAGCUUGUUGGUGGGGUAGUGGCUUACCAAGGCUUUGACGGGUAGCCGGCCUGGGAGGGUGACCGGCCACCUUGGGCCUGCGAUACGGCCCAGAAUGCUACGGGACGCAGCAGUGGGGAGUAUUGCACAAUGGGCGGGAGCGUGAUGCAGCAACGCCGCGAUCGUGAUGCCGUCCUUCGGGUUGUAAACCACUUUCGAAUGUGACGAAGAGGGAGUGACGGUAAUGGGUAAAGAAGCACCGGCUAACUACGUG
Molecule: ribosomal RNA, 468 nt
Filed under: uncultured bacterium
Lineage: Bacteria
Description: partial 16S ribosomal RNA
Rfam family: Bacterial small subunit ribosomal RNA
Source: RNAcentral